Molecule: long non-coding RNA, 664 nt
Organism: Triticum aestivum (bread wheat)
Lineage: Eukaryota; Viridiplantae; Streptophyta; Magnoliopsida; Poales; Poaceae
Exons: 3
Source: RefSeq, a predicted model, not a curated record
CUACACAGAUCCCCGAUCGUCCCAACUGGGCUCCUCUACUGAUCGACUAGAACAUGUAAAGUAGCUAGCAGUUAAUUUUGCAAAGUAGAUAGCAGAGUCUGUUAGACAUGUCUUUCUUUUUUUUACCUCUACGGCAAAACUCAUAUAUCAAAGUAGCAGAGUCUGUUGGACAUAUAUGCCCUUAUGGACUGAAUUUUUGUACAAUAGGACUGUUGGAAUUUCACGUGAUCUAUUUGCAAUCAGAGGAACAGUUGAUGUUAGCAUUAUUACGAUGUAAGCAACAAGUUCAGUCUACAAGUAUUUGCUAAUAACCUGAGUCUGUUGGACAUGUCUUUCUUUUUUUAUAGAUACAUAUGGGGAAUCCACACAGCAAGCCAACGGAAGAGACAACAUCGUCACAUGUACCUCCAGGAGUCCAUAUUACUCCCUCGGAACGGGUGAUAGUUCAACAGAACGAUGGUGAUAGCACAUAUGAUACUCCAGGAGUCCAUAUUACUCCCUCGGAGCGGAUCAUACUUGAACAGACCGAUGGUGAUAGCACAUAUGUUCAUCAACCUUCCCAUCUGGUUUCGGAUAAGUAUUCUUUUGCUGAAAGGUUAACACCAUGUGCCUACAACUUUGCCUUAUUUCGGACCAAUAUUUGUUAUGUUUACAUGAUGCAGAC